This 878-nucleotide ribosomal RNA is filed under the name uncultured bacterium. RNAcentral describes it as "bacterial SSU rRNA". It matches the Rfam family "Bacterial small subunit ribosomal RNA", at positions 38 to 889 of the family's 1533-position model. The record is from RNAcentral.
UUCGAUUGGAUUAGGCAUGCAAGUCGAACGAGAAAACUUCCUUCGGGAAGUGAGUAAAGUGGCGAACGGGUGAGUAACGCGUGGGAAACCUGCCCUUCAGAGGGGGAUAACAGUCCUAACGGUCUGCUAAUACCGCAUUCGAUCCUUUGACCGCCUGGUCGGAGGAUGAAAGGUGGCCUCUCCUUGGAAGCUGCCGCUGAAGGAUGGUCCCGCGUCCCAGUAGCUUGUUGGUGAGGUAAGGGCUCACCAAGGCGACGAUGGGUAGCCGGCCUGAGAGGGUGUCCGGCCACACUGGGACUGAGAUACGGCCCAGACUCCUACGGGAGGCAGCAGUCGAGAAGCUUCAACAAUGAACAAAAGCCUGACCGAGCGACGCCGCGUGAGCGAUGAAGGCCUUAUUGGCUGUAAAGCUCUGUCAGAUUGGGAAGAAAGCCUGGGGGCUAAUACCCUCCAGGUCUGACGGUACCUUCAGAGGAAGCACCGGCUAACUCCGUGCCAGCAGCCGCGGUAAUACGGAGGGUGCGAGCGUUGUUCGGAUUCACUGGGUAUAAAGGGUGCGUAGGCGGCUUGAUAAGUCAGAGGUGAAAUCUACCGGCUUAACCGGCAAAUUGCCUCUGAAACUGUCUUGCUUGAGUCCGAGAGAGGAAAGUGGAAUUCCUGGUGUAGCGGUGAAAUGCGUAAAUAUCAGGGGGAAUACCAGUGGCGAAGGCGACUUUCUGGCUCGGUACUGACGCUGAGGCACGAAAGCUAGGGGAGCGAACGGGAUUAGAUACCCCGGUAGUCCUAGCCGUAAACGAUGGGCACUAGGUGUUGGAGGAGUCUACCCCUUCAGUGCCGCAGCUAACGCAUUAAGUGCCCCACCUGGGGAGUACGAUCGC